UAGAGCUUGAUCAUGGCUCAGAUUGAACGCUGGCGGCAGGCCUAACACAUGCAAGUCGAGCGGUAGAGAGAAGCUUGCUUCUCUUGAGAGCGGCGGACGGGUGAGUAAUGCCUAGGAAUCUGCCUGGUAGUGGGGGAUAACGUUCGGAAACGGACGCUAAUACCGCAUACGUCCUACGGGAGAAAGCAGGGGACCUUCGGGCCUUGCGCUAUCAGAUGAGCCUAGGUCGGAUUAGCUAGUUGGUGAGGUAAUGGCUCACCAAGGCGACGAUCCGUAACUGGUCUGAGAGGAUGAUCAGUCACACUGGAACUGAGACACGGUCCAGACUCCUACGGGAGGCAGCAGUGGGGAAUAUUGGACAAUGGGCGAAAGCCUGAUCCAGCCAUGCCGCGUGUGUGAAGAAGGUCUUCGGAUUGUAAAGCACUUUAAGUUGGGAGGAAGGGCAGUUACCUAAUACGUAAUUGUUUUGACGUACCGACAG
RNAcentral lists this ribosomal RNA (481 nucleotides) under Pseudomonas sp. 01WB04.1-82. RNAcentral's name for it is "bacterial SSU rRNA". It matches the Rfam family "Bacterial small subunit ribosomal RNA", at positions 1 to 484 of the family's 1533-position model. Lineage: Bacteria; Pseudomonadati; Pseudomonadota; Gammaproteobacteria; Pseudomonadales; Pseudomonadaceae. The record is from RNAcentral.